Molecule: ribosomal RNA, 432 nt
Filed under: uncultured Glomus
Lineage: Eukaryota; Fungi; Glomeromycota; Glomeromycetes; Glomerales; Glomeraceae
Description: SSU rRNA
Rfam family: Eukaryotic small subunit ribosomal RNA
Source: RNAcentral
AGCAGCCGCGGUAAUUCCAGCUCCAAUAGCGUAUAUUAAAGUUGUUGCAGUUAAAAAGCUCGUAGUUGAAUUUCGGGAUCGACGGUCGGUCGCGCCUCUGGUGUGUACUGGCCCUGUCGGUUUCUCCCUUCUGACGAACCACGAUGUCAUUAAUUUGGUGUCGUGGGGAAUCAGGACUGUUACUUUGAAAAAUUAGAGUGUUUAAAGCAGGCAUUCGCUUGAAUACAUUAGCAUGGAAUAAUGAAAUAGGACGUUUGAUCUUAUUUUGUUGGUUUCUAAGAUCGACGUAAUGAUUAAUAGGGAUAGUUAGGGGCAUUAGUAUUCAAUUGUCAGAGGUGAAAUUCUUGGAUUUAUUGAAGACUAACUACUGCGAAAGCAUUUGCCAAGGAUGUUUUCAUUAAUCAAGAACGAAAGUUAGGGGAUCGAAGACGA